This 609-nucleotide ribosomal RNA is filed under the name uncultured bacterium. RNAcentral describes it as "bacterial SSU rRNA". The stretch from base 1 to 519 matches the Rfam family "Bacterial small subunit ribosomal RNA", at positions 338 to 873 of the family's 1533-position model. The record is from RNAcentral.
CCUACGGGAGGCAGCAGUGGGGAAUCUUGCGCAAUGGGCGAAAGCCUGACGCAGCCAUGCCGCGUGAAUGAUGAAGGUCUUAGGAUUGUAAAAUUCUUUCACCGAGGACGAUAAUGACGGUACUCGGAGAAGAAGCCCCGGCUAACUUCGUGCCAGCAGCCGCGGUAAUACGAAGGGGGCUAGCGUUGCUCGGAAUUACUGGGCGUAAAGGGAGCGUAGGCGGAUAGUUUAGUCAGAGGUGAAAGCCCAGGGCUCAACCUUGGAAUUGCCUUUGAUACUGGCUAUCUUGAGUACGGAAGAGGUAUGUGGAACUCCGAGUGUAGAGGUGAAAUUCGUAGAUAUUCGGAAGAACACCAGUGGCGAAGGCGACAUACUGGUCCGUUACUGACGCUGAGGCUCGAAAGCGUGGGGAGCAAACAGGAUUAGAUACCCUGGUAGUCCACGCUGUAAACGAUGAGUGCUAGUUGUCGGCAUGCAUGCAUGUCGGUGACGCAGCUACGCAGUUAAGACGACUCCGCCGUCGGGGAGGUACGGUCGGUCGAGAGUUAAACGUUACGUAAGAAGUUAGACGGCGNGAGACGNGCCGACGGACGACGACGAGGGAGGAGG